Molecule: long non-coding RNA, 795 nt
Filed under: Anas platyrhynchos platyrhynchos (common mallard)
Lineage: Eukaryota; Metazoa; Chordata; Aves; Anseriformes; Anatidae
Description: lncRNA (ENSAPLG00000018723.1)
Source: RNAcentral
UUCAUACUGCCUUUUUUUUUUUUUCCUUUAGUCAUAGGAAAUAUGGUUUUCAACAUCUCAAUGUACUUUCUUCAUUUAAUUAUUAAAUCACAAUUUAUGAAAACAAUAUUCUUUGUUCUUUGCAGGUCUCCCCUAUGAGGAACGAUGGCUGCUGCAGCAUGUUUAUUUAAGUACCAUGCUUAAACUAGACUUUAGCUCUCACGUGACUCACUAGAUCAGUUUUCAUUGCCCCUGGCUCUUUUUUAUUAUUUACCUUGCUUCUGAAGUUUCUUGUAAGGAGAUUAGAAUCCUUUACCAAAAAAAUACAGUGAGUUUGGGGCUCAUUUAAAAUGCAGUUAUUCACCCUGCAAGGGAAGGAUGAAUAACUUGGUGGCUGAGUGACAAACCAGUUUUAUUACCUCCCACCUGACACUGGCCAAGUUGAUCAUGUCUUAUCCAGAGCAGGACAAAGGCAGAACAGGUGAUGGUAGAAAUAGGUAGAAUAGAUAGAAAAGGUGAUGGAGGAGAUGUAGAAAGAAACAUGAUAAUCUGAAUGCUCUGACAACAAAUCUUCCUCAAAAUUGGAUGCAUGACCUGAGAAAACUUGCAUUCAAUUCAUGGGUGGUACAUGGAACUUCUAGCUCCCGUUGACUCCAGUGAAGUCUUAGAAAGGUCAAGAAGGCCUGAGCCUUGCAGAGAAAUCUAACCAUGCCCAGGCAUAAAGCUACAUCCCAACAUCUUUGCCCACGGACCUGGGGCAGCAGCGAUCCUGUUUCCUUUGCAGAACAGUCAAUGAAUUCCACAGCCAGCGUUUAG